Long non-coding RNA from Meriones unguiculatus (Mongolian gerbil), 459 nucleotides. RefSeq lists it as uncharacterized. The record is from RefSeq and is a predicted model, not a curated record. The transcript has 2 exons. NCBI's taxonomy places the organism in Eukaryota, Metazoa, Chordata, Mammalia, Rodentia, Muridae.
GUGAUUCAGAACCAUGACGUUAGGCAGGUCCCAAUCUGUACCUUCCUCAGAAAGAAUGGAGCCAUGAACGAAGUGAGUCUUGUUGGAUACGCCUGAGAGAUUCCCAUGGACAGAAGAAGAAAAGAGUUGUAUUGGAGCCUAUUUCAGGACACACAUGGAGUAAUAUGGUACUUCCUGGGGAGAGCAGCCAGCUGCAAACUACAGCCCUUCUCUGCUUCCUUGGAUAUAAGAGUGAUAACGUAUUUGUUGAGUGAAGAAAUCAGGCAUCCACUAGUAAUCCCUCAGACAGAAAGAAAAGAAGCCCUGGCCUGAUGGCACGGACUGAUUUCCUGAAAGAGAACCUUAGGCUGUUCUUUGGGCUCCUUGCAAGCAAUGGGCCCUGGCUCCACCUCCCCCUAACUUCAUUAGUCCUGACCCCAGAGAGUGUAUGUCGCAGAAAUAAAAAUGGAUUGUUGGCCC